AUAUCGCACUCUGCUCUUCGAUAUCACUCGACGCACCGGCUUGCAAGCAGCCUCUCCCCUCGAAACCAUGGACCUGGACCUCAGCAUGCUAAUUCGCAACAGCGAAUGCUGUGGCGACGUUCUUCUAGCUUUCUAAGGAAGGCGCAGCUAUGGUCCUCGGACAGCUUAUACCACCCACAUUUUUUUUCGCCCUGCGGAUGACGUCCAACUCGACUCACCGAUGACCCUGCAUGGUUUAGGAUAAAGACGCCCAUCUCCCGGUCUGUGACAUGCUCUCCCGAGAAGAGCACCUCGGCGCCACGCAUCGAUGUAGCCUUAAGGAAGACCGCAGAUUGAGUACAAGAAUAGAUGUCGUUACAAAACAGAACGAAGAAUAUGUCGCUACAGCCCCUGUAAGGCGCCGUCCUACAAUACAUGUAUGCAAGACGUUCGUGACAAACUAAAUCAAUUUCGCAAAUAAAAAGGAAGCAUGCUGCCAAACAA
This is a long non-coding RNA of Rhipicephalus microplus (southern cattle tick), 483 nucleotides long. RefSeq lists it as uncharacterized. The record is from RefSeq and is a predicted model, not a curated record. NCBI's taxonomy places the organism in Eukaryota, Metazoa, Arthropoda, Arachnida, Ixodida, Ixodidae.